AGAGAUUUGGGGGUAUAUUGGCAAGGUCUGUAGCAAGGUAAAGCGGGCAGACAGGCCAGCAUACACAGUGAAAUUCCACGAUGGGGCUGUGGACUUCUAUUUAGAAGACCAUCCCAAAUUUACCCAGG
This 128-nucleotide small nuclear RNA is filed under the name Scyphosphaera apsteinii. RNAcentral's name for it is "partial Dictyostelium signal recognition particle". Lineage: Eukaryota; Haptophyta; Coccosphaerales; Pontosphaeraceae. The record is from RNAcentral.